GACGAACGCUGGCGGCGUGCUUAACACAUGCAAGUCGAACGGUAAGGCCCUUCGGGGUACACGAGUGGCGAACGGGGGAGUAACACGUGGGUAAUCUGCCCUGCACAUCGGGAUAAGCGUGGGAAACUGGGGCUAAUACCGAAUAGGACCACAGGACACAUGUCCGGUGGUGGAAAGCUUUUGCGGUGUGGGAUGGGCCCGCGGCCGAUCAGCUUGGUGGUGGGGUGAUGGCCUACCAAGGCGACGACGGGUAGCCGGCCUGAGCGGGUGUCCGGCCACAGAGAGACGGAGCAGCCGCCCAGGGGCGGACGGGAGGGGGCAGUGGGGAAGAUUGGAGAAUGGGCGAAAGACCGAUGCAGCGAGGGUGAGGGAGGGAUGCGGGCCUUCGGGUUGUAUCCUUCUGUCAGAAUAGACGCAGGUUCGGGUUCUGUCGGGCUGACGGUAGCUGGAGAAGAAGCACCGGCUAACUACGUG
RNAcentral lists this ribosomal RNA (474 nucleotides) under uncultured bacterium. RNAcentral's name for it is "partial 16S ribosomal RNA". It matches the Rfam family "Bacterial small subunit ribosomal RNA", at positions 28 to 507 of the family's 1533-position model. The record is from RNAcentral.